UCCUCGGUAGCUCAGCUGGCAGAGCGGGUGGCUGUUAACCACUAGGUCGCAGGUUCGAGUCCUGCCCGGGGAGCCA
This 76-nucleotide transfer RNA is filed under the name Dethiosulfovibrio marinus. RNAcentral's name for it is "tRNA-Asn". It matches the Rfam family "tRNA". From Rfam's summary of the family: Transfer RNA (tRNA) molecules are approximately 80 nucleotides in length. Lineage: Bacteria; Thermotogati; Synergistota; Synergistia; Synergistales; Dethiosulfovibrionaceae. RNAcentral also lists the same sequence under 5 other names. The record is from RNAcentral.